RNAcentral lists this microRNA precursor (68 nucleotides) under Taeniopygia guttata (zebra finch). RNAcentral describes it as "mir-383 microRNA precursor family". It matches the Rfam family "mir-383 microRNA precursor family". Lineage: Eukaryota; Metazoa; Chordata; Aves; Passeriformes; Estrildidae. The record is from Rfam by way of RNAcentral.
CUCCUCAGAUCAGAAGGUGAUUGUGGCUUUGAGUAAAUAUUAAGCAGCCACAGCACUGCCUGGUCAGA